GCACCUAUACCCAAGUGGUUAAGGGGGGAGACUGCAAAUCUCUUAUCGUUGGUUCGAAUCCGACUAGGUGCUC
Molecule: transfer RNA, 73 nt
Filed under: compost metagenome
Description: tRNA-Cys
Rfam family: tRNA
About the family: Transfer RNA (tRNA) molecules are approximately 80 nucleotides in length. Their secondary structure includes four short double-helical elements and three loops (D, anti-codon, and T loops).
Source: RNAcentral